This 336-nucleotide ribosomal RNA is filed under the name uncultured bacterium. Its description in RNAcentral is "partial 16S ribosomal RNA". It matches the Rfam family "Bacterial small subunit ribosomal RNA", at positions 338 to 691 of the family's 1533-position model. The record is from RNAcentral.
CCUACGGGUGGCAGCAGUAGGGAAUAUUGCUCAAUGGGGGAAACCCUGAAGCAGCAACGCCGCGUGGAGGAUGAAGGUUUUCGGAGUGUAAACUCCUUUUGGUAGAGAAGAGAAUGACGGUAGCUAACGAAUAAGCACCGGCUAACUCCGUGCCAGCAGCCGCGGUAAUACGGAGGGUGCAAGCGUUACGCGGAAUGACUGGGCGUCAAGAGCGCGUAGGCGGGAUAGCAAGUCAGAUGUGAAAUCCUAUGGCUUAACCCUAGAACUGCCUUUGAUACUGUUAUUCUAGAGUCUGGGAGCGGUAGGUGGAAUUCUUGGUGUAGGGGUCCAAUCCGU